AUUGGCAGUUAGGUGAGUAGCGUGGCUGGAGAAAAACGCGUGGCUGGAGAAAAAUAUUUAAAAAUGAAUAAGAAAAUUAAAGAUAAGGAUGCUCUAAUUAUGAACCUGCAGGCUCAAUUAUAGCAACAGCAGAAAAUAUUAGGUGACAACAAAACUAUGGAUGCUCAAACUUUCAGUCUACAAGCUCAGUUACUAGUUUACUCAGUUACAGGAAAAAAAACAAGUUACAACGGGACACUUUCCAAACAGUGAAGGAGGUUUUUCCAAACUCAUCCCUAACUGAACGUGAGGAUGAGUUGGCAUUAGGCGUACACAGUCAGUUAUUCAGUCCACCAUCAGACAGUGUGUUAAAUUUAAAUUCUGUUAGUGCUGCACUAAAAGAAUUGUUCGUAAUCAGUCCAUGCAACGAUGGAACUGAACAAUUGUGGGACCGUAUUUGGGCCAAAAAUGGGUGUGGUACGGAAACCCAGAAAUGGCACGAGUUCAACCUAAAACAUGGAUUAGAAUUUUAGCGGGGGAUCAAGUCAAGUCUGGAAGUGUUACAGGAUGGAAGAGUCAGCCUGUAGUUGAAAAAACACUGAGAGUACAUUGCCGUUAAGGUGUGAGGUGAAGUAAUAG
Long non-coding RNA from Daphnia carinata, 618 nucleotides. RefSeq lists it as uncharacterized. Lineage: Eukaryota; Metazoa; Arthropoda; Branchiopoda; Diplostraca; Daphniidae. The transcript has 5 exons. The record is from RefSeq and is a predicted model, not a curated record.